ACACGGGGUGCGUUGGAUAAGCGCUGAGAUACAACCCGUGGAACCUGCUCUAGUUUGUACUAGCGAAGGGAUGUCC
This 76-nucleotide non-coding RNA is filed under the name uncultured Yaniella sp. Its description in RNAcentral is "TPP riboswitch (THI element)". It matches the Rfam family "TPP riboswitch aptamer (THI element)", at positions 8 to 91 of the family's 105-position model. Rfam says of the family: Vitamin B(1) in its active form thiamin pyrophosphate (TPP) is an essential coenzyme that is synthesised by coupling of pyrimidine and thiazole moieties in bacteria. The previously detected thiamin-regulatory element, thi box was extended, resulting in a new, highly conserved RNA secondary structure, the THI element, which is widely distributed in eubacteria and also occurs in some archaea. Lineage: Bacteria; Bacillati; Actinomycetota; Actinomycetes; Micrococcales; Micrococcaceae. The record is from RNAcentral.